UACAGAGGUCCCAAGCGUUGUUCGGAUUCACUGGGCGUAAAGGGUGCGUAGGUGGCCAGGUAAGUUUGGUGUGAAAGCUCGGAGCUUAACUCCGAAAAGUCAUUGAAUACUAUCUGGCUGGAGGGUCGGAGGGGAGACUGGAAUUCUCGGUGUAGCAGUGAAAUGCGUAGAUAUCGAGAGGAACACCAGUGGCGAAGGCGAGUCUCUGGACGACUC
This 216-nucleotide ribosomal RNA is filed under the name uncultured bacterium. Its description in RNAcentral is "partial 16S ribosomal RNA". It matches the Rfam family "Bacterial small subunit ribosomal RNA", at positions 524 to 739 of the family's 1533-position model. The record is from RNAcentral.